Molecule: microRNA precursor, 82 nt
Organism: Ailuropoda melanoleuca (giant panda)
Lineage: Eukaryota; Metazoa; Chordata; Mammalia; Carnivora; Ursidae
Source: Ensembl
GGUGCUGACGUUGGCUCUGCGAGGUCGGCUCAAGGUGGGUCUGGAUAUUGAGCAGGCCUGUCAGGGCGUUGUCACCCACACC